AAUAGAUACCCGGGUAGUCCAUGCCGUAAAACGUUGGGCACUAGGUGUGGGACUCACUCAACGGGUUCCGUGCCGUAGCUAACGCAUUAAGUACCCCGCCUGGGGAGUACGGCCGCAAGGCUAAAACUCAAAGGAAUUGACGGGGGGCCCGCACAAGCAGCGGAGCAUGUUGCUUAAUUCGAGGCAACGCGAAGAACCUUACCUGGGUUUGACAUGUACGGAAAAGCCGCAGAGAUGCGGUGUCCUUUUGGGCCGUACACAGGUGGUGCAUGGUUGUCGUCAGCUCGUGUCGUGAGAUGUUGGGUUAAGUCCCGCAACGAGCGCAACCCUUGUCCUAUGUUGCCAGCGGGUAAUGCCGGGGACUCGUAGGAGACUGCCGGGGGACAACUCGGAGGAAGGUGGGGAUGACGUCAAAUCAUCAUCGCCCCUUAUGUCCAGGGCCGCAAACAUGCUACAAUGGCCAGUACAAAGGGCUGCUAUACCGCGAGGUUGAGCGAAUCCCAUAAAGCUGGUCUCAGUUCGGAUUGGAGUCUGCAACUCGACU
This 544-nucleotide ribosomal RNA is filed under the name uncultured bacterium. Its description in RNAcentral is "bacterial SSU rRNA". It matches the Rfam family "Bacterial small subunit ribosomal RNA", at positions 777 to 1317 of the family's 1533-position model. The record is from RNAcentral.